GACGAACGCUGGCGGCGUGCCUAAUACAUGCAAGUCGAGCGAGCUUGCCUAGAUGAUUUUAGUGCUUGCACUAAAUGAAACUAGAUACAAGCGAGCGGCGGACGGGUGAGUAACACGUAGGUAACCUGCCCAUGUGCCCGGGAUAAUUUCUGGAAACGGAAACUAAAACCGGAUAGGUAGGGAUCUCGCAUGAGGACCUUAUUAAAGGGGCUGCGGCCCUGAACAUGGAUGGACCUGCGGUGCAUUAGCUGGUUGGUGGGGUAACGGCCUACCAAGGCGACGAUGCAUAGCCGACCUGAGAGGGCGAACGGCCACAUUGGGACUGAGACACGGCCCAA
Molecule: ribosomal RNA, 338 nt
Filed under: uncultured bacterium
Lineage: Bacteria
Description: bacterial SSU rRNA
Rfam family: Bacterial small subunit ribosomal RNA
Source: RNAcentral